GUCUUUUGUUUUGUUUUUGUGGGUAUGUGUUUAAAUUAAGUUUACAAAGGGGUUGUUUUUAAAAGAAAGGCGUCUCGUCCGGCAAAAGAAAGGAGAGAUCCCUUCUCGUGCAAAGACGAGACGACCCAGUGCUCACAGGGGUGUAUAUUUUUGUCAGUUUUCACUGAUGAUCCUUCCGCAGGUUCACCUACGGAAA
RNAcentral lists this unclassified non-coding RNA (196 nucleotides) under uncultured fungus. RNAcentral describes it as "sequence contains ITS1". The record is from RNAcentral. Lineage: Eukaryota; Fungi.